UACAGAGGUGGCAAGCGUUGUUCGGAAUUACUGGGCGUAAAGGGCGCGUAGGCGGCUUGGUCAGUCCCGUGUGAAAUCCCUCGGCUCAACUGAGGAACUGCACGGGAAACUGCCUGGCUUGAGUUCGGGAGAGGGAAGCGGAAUUCCGGGUGUAGCGGUGAAAUGCGUAGAGAUGUGGAGGAAUACCGAUGGCGAAGGCAGCCCCCUGGGAUAACACUGACGCUCAUGCACGAAAGCGUGGGGAGCAAACAGG
Molecule: ribosomal RNA, 253 nt
Filed under: uncultured bacterium
Lineage: Bacteria
Description: partial 16S ribosomal RNA
Rfam family: Bacterial small subunit ribosomal RNA
Source: RNAcentral